RNAcentral lists this ribosomal RNA (581 nucleotides) under Cryphonectria carpinicola. RNAcentral describes it as "partial large subunit ribosomal RNA". It matches the Rfam family "Eukaryotic large subunit ribosomal RNA", at positions 114 to 719 of the family's 3401-position model. The record is from RNAcentral. Lineage: Eukaryota; Fungi; Ascomycota; Sordariomycetes; Diaporthales; Cryphonectriaceae.
UUUGAAAUCUGGCUUCGGCCCGAGUUGUAAUUUGCAGAGGAUGUUUCUGGCGCGGUGCCUUCCGAGUUCUCUGGAACGGGACGCCACAGAGGGUGAGAGCCCCGUAUGGUUGGACACCAAGCCUGUGUGAAACUCCUUCGACGAGUCGAGUAGUUUGGGAAUGCUGCUCAAAAUGGGAGGUAAAUCUCUUCUAAAGCUAAAUACCGGCCAGAGACCGAUAGCGCACAAGUAGAGUGAUCGAAAGAUGAAAAGCACCUUGAAAAGGGGGUUAAACAGUACGUGAAAUUGUUGAAAGGGAAGCGCUUGUGACCAGACUUGCGCCGGGCGGCUCAUCCGGGGUUCUCCCCGGUGCACUCCGCCCGGCUCAGGCCAGCAUCGGUUCUCGUUGGGGGAUAAGAACGGCAGGAACGUGGCCCUCCUUCGGGUGGGUGUUAUAGCCUGCCGUACGAUAUCCUGACGGGGACCGAGGUUCGCGCUCCGCAAGGAUGCUGGCGUAAUGGUCAUCAGCGACCCGUCUUGAAACACGGACCAAGGAGUCGUCCAUUAGAGCGAGCGUUUGGGUGUUAAACCCGCACGCGUAA